GUUGCCCAGGCUGGAGUGCAGUGGAGUGAUGUUGACUCACCGCAACCUCUUUCUCCUGGGUUCAAGUGAUUCUCCUGCCUCAGCCUCCUGAGUAGCUGGGAUUACAGUUGAUUGAAGAUGAGCAAACAUUGAAAAAAAGUUAAUUGUGCUAUCUGGUUAGCUGAACUCAAACUCACGACGACAGAAAGAAGAAAACUCACUUCCUGUCGUAAGAAGGAGGCUCCCCACAGACAUUGAAUUAACAACUGGAUGAAAACUUCAAGGAAACUGGGUUCAUAGUUCACAACAAGCCUAGAUCUGGGAGAUGCCAGCAAGCAGAAAAACUGUGGCUGAAAUUGAGGCAAUGUUAGCAGAGUCCCACAAGCAUGCACUGCACAUUUGCUGAAUUGAAUAUUCCAAAACCACAGGUUACAGAAUUCUAACAGUGAAAUUCCGAAGCAUACCUAAAUGUAUAAAUGCUACAAGUGAACCAGACUGAACUUGGCUUCUGUCAUCUAAUGGAAUGAGAAAAUGAAAUUUCCAAAAAUAUUCUUGACAAGUUGACCCUUACAAUGAAGCACCUUUCCACCUAAGUGACAAUGUUGUCUGUCAAAAUUACUUUGUUUUAUGUACAGAGAAGCCACCAAAGUUUAGCAACAUGAGAAUCCCCAAAAGUUAAUGUUUGGUGGGCCAUUAAGGAGUCUUGCAUUACCAGCCCUCCAUUUUUAUUGAGAUAUAAUUCAUAUACCCUAAAAUUCACCCUUUUAAAGUAUACAAUUUAAUGGUUUUUAGUAUACUCAAAAGUUUGCCACCAUCGCCACUGUCUUAGCCCAUUUUCUGUUGCUAUCACAGAAUACCUGAGAAUGGGUAAUUUAUAAAGUGAAGAAAUUUAUUUCUUACAGUUUUGGAGGCUGACAAGCACAAUUUCAAGGGGAUGAAGUCCUUGCUGUGUGGCAGAAGGCAUCAUAUGGUGAGAGAUAGGGAGUGUGUUAGAGGGCUCUUUUUCUUUCUCUUUUUUAAGGCCACAGUCCUUUUGCACUAGGGAUCUACCCUUAUGACCUCAAUUUAACCUUAAUUGCCUCUCAAGAAUCUAUCUUAAGGGAUACAUUGAAACCAUAGCAACCACUAUCUAAUUGAGAACAUUUUUAUCAACCCAAAAAGCAAUCCUAUAUGCAUUAGUAGUCAUUCCCCAUUUCUCCCUACCUCCAACCCCAGCAAGUAAUCUACUCUGUGUCUCUAUGGAUUUGCCCCAUCUACACAUUACAUAUAUAUGAAAUUAUACAAUAUGUGGCUUUAUGUGUCUAUUGGCUUUUUCUUUUUGAAGAACCUAUAAUCAAUGAUAAAUUUUACUUGGCAGUGCUUCAGUAUUUUUUCAUUUCCAUACUACAGUUGUUAUUCCAUUAAAUGAUGCUAUUUUUCAACAA
Molecule: long non-coding RNA, 1403 nt
Organism: Pongo pygmaeus (Bornean orangutan)
Lineage: Eukaryota; Metazoa; Chordata; Mammalia; Primates; Hominidae
Exons: 2
Source: RefSeq, a predicted model, not a curated record